RNAcentral lists this ribosomal RNA (2797 nucleotides) under Klebsiella pneumoniae. RNAcentral's name for it is "23S ribosomal RNA". The record is from RNAcentral. Lineage: Bacteria; Pseudomonadati; Pseudomonadota; Gammaproteobacteria; Enterobacterales; Enterobacteriaceae.
UUAAGCGACUAAGCGUACACGGUGGAUGCCCUGGCAGUCAGAGGCGAUGAAGGACGUGCUAAUCUGCGAAAAGCGUCGGUAAGGUGAUAUGAACCGUUAUAACCGGCGAUGUCCGAAUGGGGAAACCCAGUGUGAUUCGUCACACUAUCGUUAACUGAAUACAUAGGUUAACGAGGCGAACCGGGGGAACUGAAACAUCUAAGUACCCCGAGGAAAAGAAAUCAACCGAGAUUCCCCCAGUAGCGGCGAGCGAACGGGGAGCAGCCCAGAGUCUGAAUCAGCUUGUGUGUUAGUGGAACGGUCUGGAAAGUCCGACGGUACAGGGUGAUAGUCCCGUACACCAAAAUGCACAGGCUGUGAACUCGAAGAGUAGGGCGGGACACGUGGUAUCCUGUCUGAAUAUGGGGGGACCAUCCUCCAAGGCUAAAUACUCCUGACUGACCGAUAGUGAACCAGUACCGUGAGGGAAAGGCGAAAAGAACCCCGGCGAGGGGAGUGAAAAAGAACCUGAAACCGUGUACGUACAAGCAGUGGGAGCACCUUCGGGUGUGACUGCGUACCUUUUGUAUAAUGGGUCAGCGACUUAUAUUCUGUAGCAAGGUUAACCGUAUAGGGGAGCCGCAGGGAAACCGAGUCUUAACUGGGCGUUAAGUUGCAGGGUAUAGACCCGAAACCCGGUGAUCUAGCCAUGGGCAGGUUGAAGGUUGGGUAACACUAACUGGAGGACCGAACCGACUAAUGUUGAAAAAUUAGCGGAUGACUUGUGGCUGGGGGUGAAAGGCCAAUCAAACCGGGAGAUAGCUGGUUCUCCCCGAAAGCUAUUUAGGUAGCGCCUCGUGAAYUCAUCUUCGGGGGUAGAGCACUGUUUCGGCUAGGGGGUCAUCCCGACUUACCAACCCGAUGCAAACUACGAAUACCGAAGAAUGUUAUCACGGGAGACACACGGCGGGUGCUAACGUCCGUCGUGAAGAGGGAAACAACCCAGACCGCCAGCUAAGGUCCCAAAGUCAUGGUUAAGUGGGAAACGAUGUGGGAAGGCACAGACAGCCAGGAUGUUGGCUUAGAAGCAGCCAUCAUUUAAAGAAAGCGUAAUAGCUCACUGGUCGAGUCGGCCUGCGCGGAAGAUGUAACGGGGCUAAACCAUGCACCGAAGCUGCGGCAGCGACACUAUGUGUUGUUGGGUAGGGGAGCGUUCUGUAAGCCUGCGAAGGUGWSCUGUGAGGSWUGCUGGAGGUAUCAGAAGUGCGAAUGCUGACAUAAGUAACGAUAAAGCGGGUGAAAAGCCCGCUCGCCGGAAGACCAAGGGUUCCUGUCCAACGUUAAUCGGGGCAGGGUGAGUCGACCCCUAAGGCGAGGCCGAAAGGCGUAGUCGAUGGGAAACAGGUUAAUAUUCCUGUACUUGGUGUUACUGCGAAGGGGGGACGGAGAAGGCUAUGUUAGCCGGGCGACGGUUGUCCCGGUUUAAGCAUGUAGGCUGGUURUCCAGGCAAAUCCGGAUAAUCAAGGCUGAGGUGUGAUGACGAGGCACUACGGUGCUGAAGUAACAAAUGCCCUGCUUCCAGGAAAAGCCUCUAAGCAUCAGGUAACAUYAAAUCGUACCCCAAACCGACACAGGUGGUCAGGUAGAGAAUACCAAGGCGCUUGAGAGAACUCGGGUGAAGGAACUAGGCAAAAUGGUGCCGUAACUUCGGGAGAAGGCACGCUGGUGUGUAGGUGAAGYCCCUGCGGRUGGAGCUGAGACCAGUCGAAGAUACCAGCUGGCUGCAACUGUUUAUUAAAAACACAGCACUGUGCAAACACGAAAGUGGACGUAUACGGUGUGACGCCUGCCCGGUGCCGGAAGGUUAAUUGAUGGGGUUAUCCGUAAGGAGAAGCUCUUGAUCGAAGCCCCGGUAAACGGCGGCCGUAACUAUAACGGUCCUAAGGUAGCGAAAUUCCUUGUCGGGUAAGUUCCGACCUGCACGAAUGGCGUAAUGAUGGCCAGGCUGUCUCCACCCGAGACUCAGUGAAAUUGAACUCGCUGUGAAGAUGCAGUGUACCCGCGGCAAGACGGAAAGACCCCGUGAACCUUUACUAUAGCUUGACACUGAACAUUGAGCCUUGAUGUGUAGGAUAGGUGGGAGGCUUUGAAGCGUGGACGCCAGUCUGCGUGGAGCCAACCUUGAAAUACCACCCUUUAAUGUUUGAUGUUCUAACGUUGGCCCCUUACCGGGGUUGCGGACAGUGUCUGGUGGGUAGUUUGACUGGGGCGGUCUCCUCCCAAAGCGUAACGGAGGAGCACGAAGGUUAGCUAAUCCUGGUCGGACAUCAGGAGGUUAGUGCAAUGGCAUAAGCUAGCUUGACUGCGAGCGUGACGGCGCGAGCAGGUGCGAAAGCAGGUCAUAGUGAUCCGGUGGUUCUGAAUGGAAGGGCCAUCGCUCAACGGAUAAAAGGUACUCCGGGGAUAACAGGCUGAUACCGCCCAAGAGUUCAUAUCGACGGCGGUGUUUGGCACCUCGAUGUCGGCUCAUCACAUCCUGGGGCUGAAGUAGGUCCCAAGGGUAUGGCUGUUCGCCAUUUAAAGUGGUACGCGAGCUGGGUUUAGAACGUCGUGAGACAGUUCGGUCCCUAUCUGCCGUGGGCGCUGGAGAAUUGAGGGGGGCUGCUCCUAGUACGAGAGGACCGGAGUGGACGCAUCACUGGUGUUCGGGUUGUCAUGCCAAUGGCACUGCCCGGUAGCUAAAUGCGGAAGAGAUAAGUGCUGAAAGCAUCUAAGCACGAAACUUGCCCCGAGAUGAGUUCUCCCUGAGACUUUAAG